RNAcentral lists this small RNA (5473 nucleotides) under Pan troglodytes (chimpanzee). Its description in RNAcentral is "retained intron". The record is from RNAcentral. Lineage: Eukaryota; Metazoa; Chordata; Mammalia; Primates; Hominidae.
GCUUGUGACCCUUCCGUCACUACCCCAAUUCCCCCUCUCUGCCCACUCAACCCCACCUAGCCCAUCGUCCUCACUCCCCACCACACUCACCCCAACCAGUACCCCACACCCCACAAACAAGAGGGUGUGAGCUUGCAGGGAACAAAAGCAGGAUGUCCCCUUUAUCUGAGACACCUCCAGAUGAGGGCUCUCUGGGACCCAUAAGUGUCUCUGUGAACAAUAAGCUCCCCACGAGGUGGGCUUCCCCUGGGAUUACAGGCAGUGUCUAGAGACACUAGAGUGGUAUCAGAGCUCAACACUGAAGUGGUGCUCCUGGGGACACGGGCAUUGACUCUGAGCACCUCUGUGAGAUAGGCGCGCCCAGGGACUGUCUCCACAAGCUUUGACACCCCACUGAGGUGGGAGCUCCCUGGAAACAGUGUCUCUGCAGUCUCAGAGCUUGACACUGAAGUGGAGCUCCCUGGCACACCAGCGGUGUGUUUGCAAACUGUGGGCUGCCCACUGUGUCCUCUGGGACACAGACAGUGUUUCCACAGACUCCGAACUCCCCCACUGAAUUGGGAGCACCCUAUGACUGGAGCAGUGUCUCUAGGGACUUGGAGCUCCCCACUGAGUUAGGAGUUCCCUGCAGCACAGACAUGGUCCCCACCAACUCUCAGCUCCCCAGUGCAGUGGGAGCUCCCUGGAACACAGCAGUUUCUCCCUGGUACACAGGCGGUGUUUCCAUGGAUUCUGAGCUCUUUACUGAGGUGGGAGCUCCCUGAGACAAGCAUAGUGUCUCACAGACUCUGUGCUCCCCAUGAGACAGGAGCUCCCUGGGUAGCGGGCAGGGUCUCCAGGGUCUAUGAACCGCCCGCUGAGGUGGGAGCCUCCUGGGAUGCAAGGAGUGCCUUUAAGGACUCUGAGCUUCCAUGGUGUGGUGCUCCCUGGGACACGGCAGUGUCUUCACGACUCUGACUUCCCACUGAAGUCACACUCUCUGGGACACAGCAGUGUCUGUAAGGACUCUGAACUCCACUGAGGGGGGAGCCCCCUGGGCUGUCUUUCCAGUGAGUCUGCGCUGAGGUGGGAGCUCACUGGGAAACCAGUAGUGUCUCUGUGGACUCUGACCUUUAUUUGAGGUAAAAGCUCCCUGAGACACUGGCAGUGUCUCCACAGACUCUGAGCCUCCCCCUGGUGGGAGCCCCUGGGAACACAGAGGGCGUCUCCACAGACUCUGAGCUCUCACUGAAAUGAAGCUCCCUGGGACUCCAGCAGGACCUCCACAGACUCUUACCUCCCCACUGAAAUGGGAGAUUUUGGGACAUGGGCAGGGUCUCCAUGGACUCAGAGUUCCCCUAUUGAAGGGGGAGUUCGGUGGCACAUGGGCAUUGUCUCUAAUGACUCUGAGCUCCUGGCUGAGGGGAUUGCUCCCUGGGACAUUGCCAGGGUCUCCACAGACUCUGAGCUCCCCAUGAGGUGGGAGCUCCAUAGGAUUUGGGCAGGGUCUCCAUGAACUAUAAACUCUCCACUGAGGUGGGAGCUCCCUGGGACACAGAGAGUUUUUUUCAGACUCUGAACUCCCAUGAAAUGGAGCUCUUUGGAGCAUGGACAGUGUCUUUAAGGACUCUGAGCUACCCACCGAGGUGGGAGCUCAGUGGGACAUGUGAAGCAGUGUCUCCACGGACUCUGGGCUGCCCACUCAGAUGGGCUGUGUCUUGGACACAGGCAGUGUCUCUAUCAACUUUGGGCUCUGCUCUGAGGUAAGAGCCCCGUGGGACAGGGGCACUAUCUCCUUGGACUUUGAACUCCCACCAAAGUGGAGCUCACUGGGACAGUGGCAACGUCUCCACGGAUUCUGAGCUCCCGCUGAAGUGGAGCUCCCUGGGAAUCAGUCAGUGUCCAAGAACUCUGAGCUUCCCUGAGGUGGGAGCCCUCUGGAACACAAGGAGUGUCCACGCAGACUCUGAGCUUCCAUGAAGUAGGGCUGUCUGGGACACUGGCGGUGUCUCUAUGGUCUCUGAGCUCCUCACGGAGCUGGGAGCUCCCUCGGAUAUGGGCGGUGUCUCCACAAACUCUCCAUUCCCCUAUGAGGUGGAAGCUCUCUGCGACAUGACCAUUGUCUCUGUGGAAUCUGAGCUUCCCACUAGUGGGAGCCCCUUGGGACACAGGGCAAGGUCUCCACAGACUCUAAGCUCCCACUGAAGUGGAGCUCUCUGGAAUAACAGCAGGAUCUCCACAGACUCUUACCACCUCCAGUGAAGUGGGAACUUUUGGGACACAGGCAGUGUCUCCAUGGACUCUGAGCUCCCUGCUGAGGUGGGAGUUCAUGUGGCACCAGUUGUGUCUCCACAGAUGCUGAGCUCCCUAGGACAUGGGCUCUCCCUGGGUGGAGAGCAAUGUCUCCACGGAACCUGUGCUCCCUACUGAGGUGGGAGCUUCCUGGGACAGGGGCAGGGUCUCCAGUAACUCUGAGCUCCCACUGAAGUGGAGCUCCCUAGGAUUCUGCAGUUUCUCCACAAACUCUUACCUCCUCACUCAGUGGGAGGUUUUGGGACCCGGGUAGUGUCUCCACAUACUCUGAGCUACCCACUGAGGUGGGAUCCCCCUGGGUCGAGGGCAAUGUCUCCACAGGGACUGAGCUCCCUACCAAGAUGAGGUCUGGCACAAGAACAGUGACUUCAUGGUGGAGUCAUAGCUCCCACUGAAGUGGAGCUCCCUGACCCACUGAACAGCUGAAUGGGGAGCUUGCUGGCACACAGAAACUGUUCACACUGUCUGACCUUCCCCCACGUUUGUUCGUUCAAUACUGGAAGGAAGCGCAAGUCUGUUUGUUCUCCUGCCUCUGUGUGUGUACAGGGGGACAUCCUGGGAGCUUAUUUGUCUAAAGGAUGCCUGUGUCCUCUAGUUGCUGAGAGGCAGUGAGGACAAGCAGCUGCAUGAACUGCACUUGGAGAGAAACCCUGCUGUAUACAAUUUCACACGCCAGGGAGCAGGACUCAACAUGACUGUGCACAGUGCCUUGGACAGUGAUGAGCAGAGCCACCAGGCAGUGACCGAGGCCAUGAGGGUCAUCGGCUUCAGUCCUAAAGAGGUGGAGUCUGUGCAUCGCAUCCUGGCUGCCAUAUUGCACCUGGGAAACAUCGAGUUUGUGGAGACGGAGGAGGGUGGGCUGCAGAAGGAGGGCCUGGCAGUGGCCGAGGAGGCACUGGUGGACCAUGUGGCUGAGCUGACGGCCACACCCCGGGACCUCGUGCUCCGCUCCCUGCUGGCUCGCACAGUUGCCUCGGGAGGCAGGGAACUCAUAGAGAAGGGCCACACUGCAGCUGAGGCCAGCUAUGCCCGGGAUGCCUGUGCCAAGGCAGUGUACCAGCGGCUGUUUGAGUGGGUGGUGAACAGGAUCAACAGUGUCAUGGAACCCCGCGGCCGGGAUCCUCGGCGUGAUGGCAAGGACACAGUCAUUGGCGUGCUGGACAUCUAUGGCUUCGAGGUGUUUCCCGUCAACAGUUUCGAGCAGUUCUGCAUCAACUACUGCAACGAGAAGCUGCAGCAGCUAUUCAUCCAGCUCAUCCUGAAGCAGGAACAGGAAGAGUACGAGCGCGAGGGCAUCACCUGGCAGAGCGUUGAGUAUUUCAACAACGCCACCAUUGUGGAUCUGGUGGAGCGGCCCCACCGUGGCAUCCUGGCCAUGCUGGACGAGGCCUGCAGCUCUGCUGGCACCAUCACUGACCGAAUCUUCCUGCAGACCCUGGACACGCACCACCGCCAUCACCUACACUACACCAGCCGCCAGCUCUGCCCCACAGACAAGACCAUGGAGUUUGGCCGAGACUUCCGGAUCAAGCACUAUGCAGGGGACGUCACGUACUCCGUGGAAGGCUUCAUCGACAAGAACAGAGAUUUCCUCUUCCAGGACUUCAAGCGGCUGCUGUACAACAGCACGGACCCCACUCUACGGGCCAUGUGGCCGGACGGGCAGCAGGACAUCACAGAGGUGACCAAGCGCCCCCUGACGGCUGGCACACUCUUCAAGAACUCCAUGGUGGCCCUGGUGGAGAACCUUGCCUCCAAGGAGCCCUUCUACGUCCGCUGCAUCAAGCCCAAUGAGGACAAGGUAGCUGGGAAGCUGGAUGAGAACCACUGUCGCCACCAGGUCGCAUACCUGGGGCUGCUGGAGAACGUGAGGGUCCGCAGGGCUGGCUUCGCUUCCCGCCAGCCCUACUCUCGAUUCCUGCUCAGGUACAAGAUGACCUGUGAAUACACAUGGCCCAACCACCUGCUGGGCUCCGACAAGGCAGCCGUGAGCGCUCUCCUGGAGCAGCACGGGCUGCAGGGGGAUGUGGCCUUUGGCCACAGCAAGCUGUUCAUCCGCUCGCCCCGGACACUGGUCACACUGGAGCAGAGCCGAGCCCGCCUCAUCCCCAUCAUUGUGCUGCUAUUGCAGAAGGCAUGGCGGGGCACCUUGGCGAGGUGGCGCUGCCGGAGGCUGAGGGCUAUCUACACCAUCAUGCGCUGGUUCCGGAGACACAAGGUGCGGGCUCACCUGGCUGAGCUGCAGCGGCGAUUCCAGGCUGCAAGGCAGCCGCCACUCUACGGGCGUGACCUUGUGUGGCCGCUGCCCCCUGCUGUGCUGCAACCCUUCCAGGACACCUGCCACGCACUCUUCUGCAGGUGGCGGGCCCGGCAGCUGGUGAAGAACAUCCCCCCUUCAGACAUGCCCCAGAUCAAGGCCAAGGUGGCUGCCAUGGGGGCCCUGCAAGGGCUUCGUCAGGACUGGGGCUGCCGACGGGCCUGGGCCCGAGACUACCUGUCCUCUGCCACUGACAAUCCCACAGCAUCAAGCCUGUUUGCUCAGCGACUAAAGACACUUCGGGACAAAGAUGGCUUCCGGGCUGUGCUCUUUUCAAGCCAUGUCCGCAAGGUGAACCGCUUCCACAAGAUCCGGAACCGGGCCCUCCUGCUCACAGACCAGCACCUCUACAAGCUGGACCCUGACCGGCAGUACCGGGUGAUGCGGGCCGUGCCCCUUGAGGCGGUGACGGGGCUGAGCGUGACCAGCGGAGGAGACCAGCUGGUGGUGCUGCACGCCCGCGGCCAGGACGACCUCGUGGUGUGCCUGCACCGCUCCCGGCCGCCAUUGGACAACCGCGUUGGGGAGCUGGUGGGCGUUUUGGCCGCACACUGCCAGGGGUGAGUGCAGGCUGGGGGGUGGCGGGCACGAAGCCCCGGCCGCGUGGCCGCCCUGACCCCUCCUCCUGCCGCAGGGAGGGCCGCACCCUGGAGGUUCGCGUCUCCGACUGCAUCCCACUAAGCCAUCGCGGGGUCCGGCGCCUCAUCUCCGUGGAGCCCAGGCCGGAGCAGCCAGAGCCCGAUUUCCGCUGCGCUCGCGGCUCCUUCACCCUGCUCUGGCCCAGCCGCUGAGCGCCCGCACCCGCCGCACCCCGAGGCCGCCAAUUGUCCGCCCCGCCAGCGCUGCAAAUAAACCUUCUGAGUC